ACCCCCCGCCCCCCAAUUAUAUUUCAGUUAUAUUUCUCGCUACCAGCCAGCUUGGAACACUAAAGAUAUUCACUAAAAUCCAUCGAUUGAGUGAAAAUGCUCGACUAACCUGCAUUUCCAACAUUUUCCGCACCACGUACAUUAGGGGUUACAGUCGAAAUCGAAAAUCGCCCCCCCCCCCAACAAAGGAAAAAAAAAAACAGGAUAUCCUCUGUAUUUAAAUAAUGGUCCAUCUAAGUUUACUGAAAAAAGGUUCUCAUAGAUUGGUAAAUAUGGGCCUGGUUGGUUGAACACAAUGCUGUCCAUUUGUAGAACAUUACAAUAUUCUUCCAUCUAGUGGAAGCAUUUGUUUUGGUUAUGCCACUGACUGUUCAUCAUUGGCAUAGAUAGAUGAACAGAGACACAUUAUUUGUAUAACAUUAAUUAUAAAUUUCAGACCAGUUAAAUUGGAAAAUACAACACUGGCUUGGAAUCACUGAACUAAACCGAGUUGACAGGAAAGUGCAUGUGAAUUGUUCAGCGUCAACUGCAUAGUAAAAUAUAAGUUCUAACCAUUUCAUUAGCUAACAUUAUUAAUUUGGAAGGAAUUCAUGAAAUGAAGUUCUGUGAAAUUACAUCAAAAACAAAAAUAUGCCCGAGACACAACAGCAAAAAAGUACAUCUUCACAUGAAACCUUUUCUUUUGGUCUUCUUCCAGGUGCCUCCAGGCGUGAGGAUGUUGCUCAGGAAGUUUCCUGCCAUCUGGGGGCAGCAGGUGGCCGCCGGCCUCCAUAGAUGUCGGAGUAAAGGGGUCAAACAAGGCACAGGUGCUCAUCCACACAAAUACACAAGUAUACAAUAACAAAAGUUUAGUAGGAUUGAGUUUUCUGGUAAAAUGUCAGGAUUACGCAACCUUUACAAGAAGACUUAAUUUGAUCGUCUGUUCACUUUUGAAUGUAUCCAAUUGUUCAAUGUUUCAGUACUUUAUGCACAUAUUACUGCUUUUUGUGAGGGACUCACUGUCGAGCUGCUGCUCCACCGCAUUGAGAUGAGCCAGAUGAGGGGGCUGAAGCAUCUGAUUUGGAUGCCUCCUGCAUGCCUCCCUGGUGAGGUGCUCCGGUCACAUCCCACUGGAAACAGUCGGUGACAAUCCAGGACACUCGCUCCUGGCCUGGGAAUGUUUCGAGAUCCCCCCCGGAAGAGUUGGAUGAAGUGGCUUGGGAAAGGGAAGUCUGGGCAUCCCUGCUAAAGCUACUGCCGCAGAGACCCGUACCGAAAAAGCAGUAGAAGAUGGAUGCAUGGAUGGAUGUGCAACCUGAAAUUUCACCAGAAAGGUGUUUGCCAAAAACAUAAUGCAACCUGAGGCAGUAAGGCUCACUUUUCCACAGCCAGAACUCCACACAGAGUGGCGCCCAGACAGAAAAAGUGCCUGUCUUCAUGAGGUCGCAUGGAAGCUGAAACCUAUUUAAGCUGACUUCUGGCAGAAGGCUGGGUACAUGCUUGACUGCUCACUCCCCAGUCGCAGUGCAGAAAAACACAUAUCACUUUACUUUUUUUUCCACUUUUCCUCCAUGUGAGUAGUUUACAAUGGACAGUUUGUCUUAAAAAUGAAUGAAAACUAUUGUUUUAUGCAACUGCAUUUUGGAUACUGAAAACCGUUUGAAAGCAUGCAUCAGAGUGUAAUUUUUUUUUUUAAUUGGGAAAAAAUGAAAUGCAUGUUACAAAAGUUAAGGAAGAUUAUGAUGAAUAU
This is a long non-coding RNA of Syngnathoides biaculeatus (alligator pipefish), 1729 nucleotides long. RefSeq lists it as uncharacterized. The record is from RefSeq and is a predicted model, not a curated record. The transcript has 3 exons. Lineage: Eukaryota; Metazoa; Chordata; Actinopteri; Syngnathiformes; Syngnathidae.